UAGGGAUGGGGGGCGUGGGAGGCCAAGCGCAAAAAAGGAAGAAUCAUUUGUUAGGAUGAAGAAAAUUGCCGAAGUACGGUAUAGGUGGAUGAAUUGAAAUUUAUUUUCUUAUGGGUUCUCUCAUUGAUAUAGGAUGAUAGAAAAUAUGGUGAAUUGGUCCUAAAAAAUAAAAAAAGUUUCUACAUGGCGACAUAUUUUACGAGUUGGUUCCAUUAUUCUUUCCGGUUCCUGUUAUUAAAAUGAAAUUAUAGGCAAUGUAAUAAUGGCUAUUUUAUUCAUUAGUGUUGCAACUUAAACU
Molecule: long non-coding RNA, 298 nt
Filed under: Setaria viridis
Lineage: Eukaryota; Viridiplantae; Streptophyta; Magnoliopsida; Poales; Poaceae
Description: long non-coding RNA (SVIR_LNC002363)
Source: RNAcentral